ACGGGAGGCAGCAGUGGGGAAUAUUGCACAAUGGGGGAAACCCUGAUGCAGCGACGCCGCGUGAGCGAUGAAGUAUUUCGGUAUGUAAAGCUCUAUCAGCAGGGAAGAAAAUGACGGUACCUGACUAAGAAGCUCCGGCUAAAUACGUGCCAGCAGCCGCGGUAAUACGUAUGGAGCAAGCGUUAUCCGGAUUUACUGGGUGUAAGGGAGCGCAGGCGGUUUUGCAAGUCUGAAGUGAAAGCCCGUGGCUCAACCGCGGGACUGCUUCGGAAACUGUAAAACUAGAGUAUCGGAGAGGCAAGUGGAAUUCCUAGUGUAGCGGUGAAAUGCGUAGAUAUUAGGAGGAACACCAGUGGCGAAGGCGGCUUGCUGGACGAUAACUGACGCUGAGGCUCGAAAGCGUGGGGAGCAAACAGGAUUAGAUACCCUGGUA
This 433-nucleotide ribosomal RNA is filed under the name uncultured Lachnospiraceae bacterium. RNAcentral's name for it is "partial 16S ribosomal RNA". It matches the Rfam family "Bacterial small subunit ribosomal RNA", at positions 341 to 792 of the family's 1533-position model. Lineage: Bacteria; Bacillati; Bacillota; Clostridia; Lachnospirales; Lachnospiraceae. The record is from RNAcentral.